AAUAGAUACCCUGGUAGUCCUAGCCGUAAACGAUACUCGCUAGGUGUCGGCCACGGUGCGACCGUUGUCGGUGCCGUAGGGAAGCCGUGAAGCGAGCCACCUGGGAAGUACGGCCGCAAGGCUGAAACUUAAAGGAAUUGGCGGGGGAGCACCACAACGGGUGGAGCUUGCGGUUUAAUUGGAUUCAACGCCGGAAAUCUUACCGGGACCGACAGCAAUAUGAAGGCCAGGCUGAAGACUUUGCCGGAUUAGCUGAGAGGUGGUGCAUGGCCGUCGUCAGUUCGUACUGUGAAGCAUCCUGUUAAGUCAGGCAACGAGCGAGACCCACGCCCACAGUUGCCAGCGUACUCUCCGGAGUGACGGGUGCACUGUGGGGACCGCCGCUGCUAAAGCGGAGGAAGGAAUGGGCAACAGUAGGUCAGUAUGCCCCGAAUAUCCCGGGCUACACGCGAGCUACAAUGGUUGGUACAAUGGGUAUCUACCCCGAAAGGGGAUGGAAAUCUCCUAAAGCCAAUCUUAGUUCGGAUUGAGGGCUGCAACUCG
Molecule: ribosomal RNA, 543 nt
Filed under: uncultured bacterium
Lineage: Bacteria
Description: bacterial SSU rRNA
Rfam family: Archaeal small subunit ribosomal RNA
Source: RNAcentral